RNAcentral lists this transfer RNA (72 nucleotides) under Heterocephalus glaber (naked mole-rat). It matches the Rfam family "tRNA". Rfam says of the family: Transfer RNA (tRNA) molecules are approximately 80 nucleotides in length. Their secondary structure includes four short double-helical elements and three loops (D, anti-codon, and T loops). The record is from Rfam by way of RNAcentral. Lineage: Eukaryota; Metazoa; Chordata; Mammalia; Rodentia; Bathyergidae.
GGGAGUGUAGGUCAGUGGAGGAGCACUUGCCUAGCUUGCAGGAGGCUCUGGGUUCCAUCCCCAGCACUUCAA